AUAUUCACUUUGGCAUCACAUAUAUGAAAACUGGAACAAGAGAAGAUUAGCAUAGCCCUGCACAAAGAUGACAGAAAUCUGGGAAUCUGCAAUGGCAGUGUUAU
Cavia aperea (Brazilian guinea pig) is the source of this 104-nucleotide small nuclear RNA. Lineage: Eukaryota; Metazoa; Chordata; Mammalia; Rodentia; Caviidae. The record is from Ensembl.